This 497-nucleotide ribosomal RNA is filed under the name uncultured bacterium. Its description in RNAcentral is "partial 16S ribosomal RNA". It matches the Rfam family "Bacterial small subunit ribosomal RNA", at positions 28 to 507 of the family's 1533-position model. The record is from RNAcentral.
GAUGAACGCUGGCGGCGUGCCUAAUACAUGCAAGUCGAGCGAACAGACGAGGAGCUUGCUCCUCUGACGUUAGCGGCGGACGGGUGAGUAACACGUGGAUAACCUACCUAUAAGACUGGGAUAACUUCGGGAAACCGGAGCUAAUACCGGAUAAUAUAUUGAACCGCAUGGUUCAAUAGUGAAAGACGGUUUUGCUGUCACUUAUAGAUGGAUCCGCGACGCAUUAGCUAGUUGGUAAGGUAACGGCUUACCAAGGCGACGAUGCGUAGCCGACCUGAGAGGGUGAUCGGCCACACUGGAACUGAGACACGGUCCAGACUCCUACGGGAGGCAGCAGUAGGGAAUCUUCCGCAAUGGGCGAAAGCCUGACGGAGCAACGCCGCGUGAGUGAUGAAGGUCUUCGGAUCGUAAAACUCUGUUAUUAGGGAAGAACAAAUGUGUAAGUAACUAUGCACGUCUUGACGGUACCUAAUCAGAAAGCCACGGCUAACUACGUG